CGUAACUAUAACGGUCCUAAGGUAGCGAAAUUCCUUGUCAGGUAAGUUCUGACCCGCACGAAAGGUGUAACGAUCUGGGCACUGUCUCGACCAUAGACUCGGUGAAAUUUUAAUACCUGUGAAAAUGCAGGUUACCCGCGACAGGACGGAAAGACCCCGUGGAGCUUUACUGCAGCUUGAUAUUGGGAUCUGGUUCAUUUUGUAGAGGAUAGGUGGGAGACGUUGAUACUAGGACGCUAGUUCUAGUGGAGUCAACCUUGGAAUACCACCCUUGAUGAAUUGGAUUUCUAACUUGGUACCAUGAAUCUGGUAUGAGGACAGUGUCUGGUGGGCAGUUUGACUGGGGCGGUCGCCUCCUAAAGAGUAACGGAGGCGCUCAAAGGUUCCCUCAAAAUGGUUGGGGAAAUCAAGCAAAAGAGUGCAAACGCAGAAGCGAGCCUAACUGCGAGACUGACGGGUCGAGCAGUAACGAAAGUUGGAGUUAGUCAAGCAGAUACGAAAGUAGGACUUAGUGAUCAGGCGAUUCAGUAUGGAAUGGUCGUCGCUUAACGGAUAAAAGUUACCCUGGGGAUAACAGGCUGAUACCACCCAAUAGUUCACAUAGACGGUGGUGUUUGGCACCUCGAUGUCGGCUCGUCACAUCCUGGAGGUGGAUUCGCUUCCAAGGGUUGGGCUGUUCGCCCAUUAAAGUGGCACGCGAGCUGGGUUCAGAACGUCGUGAGACAGUUCGGUCCCUAUCCGUCGUGGGCGUAGGAAAAUUGAGGAGAGCUGUUCCUAGUACGAGAGGACCGGAACGGACAUACCUCUGGUGUAUCUGUUGUCACGCCAGUGGCAGUGCAGAGUAGCUAUGUAUGGAAUGGAUAACCGCUGAAAGCAUCUAAGCGGGAAGCCAACUUCAAGAUGAGUUUUCCCAUAUUUUAUAUAGUAAGUUCCCUCAAAGACGAUGAGGUUGAUAGGUUAGAGGUGUAAGCAUGGCGACAUGUUGAGCUGACUAAUACUAAUAGAACGAGGAUUUAAUCAU
RNAcentral lists this non-coding RNA (1021 nucleotides) under Acholeplasma sp. CAG:878. RNAcentral's name for it is "Bacterial large subunit ribosomal RNA". It matches the Rfam family "Bacterial large subunit ribosomal RNA", at positions 1935 to 2925 of the family's 2925-position model. The record is from Rfam by way of RNAcentral. Lineage: Bacteria; Bacillati; Mycoplasmatota; Mollicutes; Acholeplasmatales; Acholeplasmataceae.